RNAcentral lists this ribosomal RNA (253 nucleotides) under uncultured bacterium. RNAcentral describes it as "partial 16S ribosomal RNA". It matches the Rfam family "Bacterial small subunit ribosomal RNA", at positions 524 to 776 of the family's 1533-position model. The record is from RNAcentral.
UACGUAGGGGGCUAGCGUUGUCCGGAAUCAUUGGGCGUAAAGCGCGUGUAGGCGGUCCGGUAAGUCCGCUGUGAAAGUCGAGGGCUCAACCCUCGAAUGCCGGUGGAUACUGUCGGGCUAGAGUGCGGAAGAGGCGAGUGGAAUUCCUGGUGUAGCGGUGAAAUGCGCAGAUAUCAGGAGGAACACCGGUGGCGAAGGCGGGUCUCUGGGCCGUAACUGACGCUGAGGAGCGAAAGCAUGGGGAGCGAACAGG